RNAcentral lists this ribosomal RNA (205 nucleotides) under Escherichia coli. RNAcentral describes it as "partial 23S ribosomal RNA". It matches the Rfam family "Bacterial large subunit ribosomal RNA", at positions 2112 to 2316 of the family's 2925-position model. The record is from RNAcentral. Lineage: Bacteria; Pseudomonadati; Pseudomonadota; Gammaproteobacteria; Enterobacterales; Enterobacteriaceae.
UGACACUGAACAUUGAGCCUUGAUGUGUAGGAUAGGUGGGAGGCUUUGAAGUGUGGACGCCAGUCUGCAUGGAGCCGACCUUGAAAUACCACCCUUUAAUGUUUGAUGUUCUAACGUUGGCCCCUUACCGGGGUUGCGGACAGUGUCUGGUGGGUAGUUUGACUGGGGCGGUCUCCUCCUAAAGAGUAACGGAGGAGCACGAAGG